UGGCAGUGCUUUCGAUGCCUGGCUUAAA
RNAcentral lists this non-coding RNA (28 nucleotides) under Mus musculus (house mouse). The record is from RNAcentral. Lineage: Eukaryota; Metazoa; Chordata; Mammalia; Rodentia; Muridae.